AAUUAUCGAACAACAAGAUAACAUAUUUUUCUCCUUUUAUAAAAGGAAAACACAGAAGAUCCUUGGGCAAGUUUUUUGAGAGAACCAAAUACUCUCUAUCUCGCCAAUUCUUUUUCACUGUUCUCAAAGCUCUAGUCACUUAAGCAUCGAAGGGUCCUAUUAGAAAACCUCCGAUGAUCGGACUUUUCUUUUAGGUCUUAGAUGUAUCCAAUUGUCCUCAGUUUCCACCGACCGACAAGUUCCAUCUCAUACGAGCACCGACCUCAGCUAUUCUUUGGAUCGAAGCCUUGCGGCAACAAUUUGACACUAGAGGGAGAGCUUAAUCCAAAGAUAGAAAGAGAAUAAUGGUAAGAACCAGAGUGCAUAACAACUCCGUCACUUUUCGUUGACAAUCCCCCCGAUGAAGAUUUGGCGGUGCUGCUUAGGCAUCUGCUCCUCAAGGGCCCAUACAACCACUCGUGAUGACAAACCCAUAGUAGUUUGAUGGAGCGUCACCCAAAGCCGUGCAUCAACUCCAACAAAUGACGGAGCAGCGACAAUUCCAGCAACCUACUCCUUAGGCUAUGCACUUUCAGCACAACCAUCGAAACCACUCCCGAGUUCCAGAGAAUAUCCCCCGGAGCAUGCACCAAUCUAUCCCCAUUGAAUGGCAAUCACCAUCCUAUUAGGGUUCUAGGCAUGAGGAAUGAUACCGACUCUCUCCGACCUCUUCUAGUAAAGAUUCAACUCGAGGCUACUCUCCACACUUUGGAAAAUCUCACUAGGCG
Molecule: long non-coding RNA, 767 nt
Filed under: Elaeis guineensis (African oil palm)
Lineage: Eukaryota; Viridiplantae; Streptophyta; Magnoliopsida; Arecales; Arecaceae
Description: long non-coding RNA (EGUI_LNC002581)
Source: RNAcentral